This 926-nucleotide ribosomal RNA is filed under the name uncultured bacterium. Its description in RNAcentral is "bacterial SSU rRNA". It matches the Rfam family "Bacterial small subunit ribosomal RNA", at positions 524 to 1450 of the family's 1533-position model. The record is from RNAcentral.
UACGUNGGUCCCGAGCGUUGUCCGGAUUUAUUGGGCNUAAAGCGAGCGCAGGCGGUUAGAUAANUCUGAAGUUAAAGGCUGUGGCUUAACCAUAGUACGCUUUGGAAACUGUUUAACUUGAGUGCAGAAGGGGAGAGUGGAANUCCAUGUGUAGCGGUGAAAUGCGUAGAUAUAUGGAGGAAUACCGGUGGCGAAAGCGGCUCUCUGGUCUGUAACUGACGCUGAGGCUCGAAAGCGUGGGGAGCGAACAGGAUUAGAUACCCUGGUAGUCCACGCCGUAAACGAUGAGUGCUAGGUGUUAGGCCCUUUCCGGGGCUUAGUGCCGCAGCUAACGCAUUAAGCACUCCGCCUGGGGAGUACGACCGCAAGGUUGAAACUCAAAGGAAUUGACGGGGGCCCGCACAAGCGGUGGAGCAUGUGGUUUAAUUCGAAGCAACGCGAAGAACCUUACCAGGUCUUGACAUCCCGAUGCCCGCUCUAGAGAUAGAGUUUUACUUCGGUACAUCGGUGACAGGUGGUGCAUGGUUGUCGUCAGCUCGUGUCGUGAGAUGUUGGGUUAAGUCCCGCAACGAGCGCAACCCUUAUUGUUAGUUGCCAUCAUUCAGUUGGGCACUCUAGCGAGACUGCCGGUAAUAAACCGGAGGAAGGUGGGGAUGACGUCAAAUCAUCAUGCCCCUUAUGACCUGGGCUACACACGUGCUACAAUGGCUGGUACAACGAGUCGCAAGUCGGUGACGGCAAGCUAAUCUCUUAAAGCCAGUCUCAGUUCGGAUUGUAGGCUGCAACUCGCCUACAUGAAGUCGGAAUCGCUAGUAAUCGCGGAUCAGCACGCCGCGGUGAAUACGUUCCCGGGCCUUGUACACACCGCCCGUCACACCGCGAGAGUUUGUAACACCCGAAGUCGGUGAGGUAACCUUUUAGGAGCC